RNAcentral lists this ribosomal RNA (253 nucleotides) under uncultured bacterium. Its description in RNAcentral is "partial 16S ribosomal RNA". It matches the Rfam family "Bacterial small subunit ribosomal RNA", at positions 524 to 776 of the family's 1533-position model. The record is from RNAcentral.
UACGUAGGGCGCAAGCGUUGUCCGGAAUUAUUGGGCGUAAAGAGCUCGUAGGCGGCCUGUUACGUCUGCUGUGAAAUCCCGGGGCUUAACCCCGGGCGUGCAGUGGAUACGGGCAGGCUGGAGGCAGGCAGGGGAGAACGGAAUUCCUGGUGUAGCGGUGAAAUGCGCAGAUAUCAGGAGGAACACCGGUGGCGAAGGCGGUUCUCUAGGCCUGUACUGACGCUGAGGAGCGAAAGCGUGGGGAGCGAACAGG